Molecule: ribosomal RNA, 256 nt
Filed under: uncultured bacterium
Lineage: Bacteria
Description: partial 16S ribosomal RNA
Rfam family: Bacterial small subunit ribosomal RNA
Source: RNAcentral
UACGAAGGGGGGCUAGCGUUGCUCGGAAUUACUGGGCGUAAAGCGCACGUAGGCGGCUUUCUAAGUCGGGGGUGAAAUCCUGGAGCUCAACUCCAGAACUGCCUUCGAUACUGGAAAGCUCGAGUCCGGGAGAGGUGAGUGGAACUGCGAGUGUAGAGGUGAAAUUCGUAGAUAUCGGGAGGAACACCAGUGGCGAAGGCGGCGAUCUGGGAAGAUACGUGACGCUGAGGUGCGAAAGCGUGGGGAGCAAACAGGG